UCGCAGAGGGGUCAAAAAGGUUGUCUCUGGAAUUUCAAUGCGAUAUUCAUUACAAAAUGUGUGUUCGCCUUUAGUGGCUCAACUGUGUCAAACCAUCACACACAUCUUUCAGACUGGCACCAAAUGACUUCAUCUCAUGUGCUUCCCUGUUGUGUAUCACUUUUGACUGGUAACACAACUGUGUCACUGAUUGGCUUCUCCGAUGUCAUUUGUGAAGCUAACGUGCAUGUAAUGCGAGUUCUUUUGGUCCCAGCAGGUGGCGCUGUCCACUCAUCCUGCAGCAGCAGAACACCACCCACUUCUCCACACAUAACAACCACAGAUGAAUGGGACGGUUUGUCUCUGUUCGUGCAUACGCAGAGACACAACCACGUCUGGUAGAAAGAUGUCAUCAAUUAUAUUAUAUGUUCUAAAAGACGGACAAACAAAACAUUACUAGAGACACUUAAUAGGUAACUACUGCAGUCUGAACAGAACUCUAUUCAAGUCCCGAAGUACUGAGACAGAGACAGAGACCGUACUGAGACAGUACUGAGACAGAGACAGUACAGAGACAGUACUUAGACAGAGACCGUACUUAGACAGAGACCGUACUGAGACAGAGACCAGACAGAGACAGUACUGAGACAGAGACAGUACAGAGACUAGACAGAGACUGUACUGAGACAGUACAGAGACAGUACUUAGACAGAGACUGUACCGAGACAGAGACAGUA
Gasterosteus aculeatus aculeatus (three-spined stickleback) is the source of this 716-nucleotide long non-coding RNA. Lineage: Eukaryota; Metazoa; Chordata; Actinopteri; Perciformes; Gasterosteidae. The record is from Ensembl.